RNAcentral lists this RNase P RNA (354 nucleotides) under Schwartzia sp. (in: firmicutes). RNAcentral's name for it is "RNase P RNA component class A". It matches the Rfam family "Bacterial RNase P class A". From Rfam's summary of the family: Ribonuclease P (RNase P) is a ubiquitous endoribonuclease, found in archaea, bacteria and eukarya as well as chloroplasts and mitochondria. Its best characterised activity is the generation of mature 5'-ends of tRNAs by cleaving the 5'-leader elements of precursor-tRNAs. Cellular RNase Ps are ribonucleoproteins. Lineage: Bacteria; Bacillati; Bacillota; Negativicutes; Selenomonadales; Selenomonadaceae. The record is from RNAcentral.
CGAGCAUGAAAGGCAAUCGCUGGAGGACGUAUGCGCCUUCAGAGGAAAGUCCGGGCUCCACAGGGCGGUGUGCCGGAUAACGUCCGGCGAGGGCAACCUCCGGGAAAGUGCCAUAGAAACGGAAACCGCCUGUGCAAACAGGCAAGGGUGGAAAGGUGCGGCAAGAGCGCACCAGCGUCCGGGUAACCGGGCGGCUUGGUAAACCCCACACGGAGCAAGACCGAAUAGGGAAGGGAUGAUGCGGCCCGCGGAACCUUCCGGGUUGAGUCGCUGGAGCCGCUCGGCGACGGGCGGCCAAGAUAAAUGAUUGCCACCUUUUAAGGAACAGAACCCGGCUUAUUGAGUGCUCGCAAA